AAAUCGAUUAAGGGAUAAUUACGUCUUUUUUUUUACCUUUGUGGUAUUGAGGCCAAAUGCUAGUGAAUUCGAUAAAGCAUAUGACUACGAGAUCCUAUGCUAAGAUGAUAAAUUGAACUCGUAUUACACAUUAAGUGAUUCAGAUCGUUGACUCUUACUAUUAGCACGGGGAUCGUUAGCACUUCGUCACACUAUCUACUAUUGUGGUUAUCAUGUGUUUUGGACUUAGUUUAUGGCAUGUAUAGGUUAGACUAUAAGUAGAAUGAUAUUUUGACUAUUGUAUAUAAGCCAUGCGAAUAUGGCAUCUUAUAGAAGUUUACUUUUAUAAGUUUUAAAUUCGAUCUUUGUUUGUAUCUAUUAGUUAUAUAUAUAAAUGAUCUUUUAUUUA
Gossypium arboreum is the source of this 388-nucleotide long non-coding RNA. RefSeq lists it as uncharacterized. Lineage: Eukaryota; Viridiplantae; Streptophyta; Magnoliopsida; Malvales; Malvaceae. The record is from RefSeq and is a predicted model, not a curated record. The transcript is spliced from 3 exons.